GCGGUCGGUGGUGAAUGGGGCGGCGCGGUGUUGCUGGUCGCCGAGCACAGCCCGGCUGCGCAGCGCGGGUUCUGGUCCAGCUGGCCGCA
RNAcentral lists this transfer RNA (89 nucleotides) under Mycobacteroides abscessus subsp. abscessus. RNAcentral describes it as "tRNA-Ala(tgc)". Lineage: Bacteria; Bacillati; Actinomycetota; Actinomycetes; Mycobacteriales; Mycobacteriaceae. The record is from RNAcentral.